Molecule: long non-coding RNA, 233 nt
Filed under: Nicotiana benthamiana
Lineage: Eukaryota; Viridiplantae; Streptophyta; Magnoliopsida; Solanales; Solanaceae
Description: long non-coding RNA (NBEN_LNC029709)
Source: RNAcentral
UCUAUGAUGUCCUGCAUUGACAGUAUUUCCUACUUCAGCCAAUGGUGAUUUCAUUGGAAGAUUAGGAUUUACUGUUACAUUGCCUUCAGCCAAUGGUAACUGACUAAUUGGAAGAUAAGGAACUGUUACAUUGCCUUCAGCAUUGUCAACAGUGGGAUUUGCUGCAAUGAUACCUUUAGGGAUCCAUUUUUGCCUUUGCUUCUUUGUCCUCCCCUUGUUCCUCUCCAGGUUUG